Molecule: ribosomal RNA, 245 nt
Filed under: uncultured bacterium
Lineage: Bacteria
Description: partial 16S ribosomal RNA
Rfam family: Bacterial small subunit ribosomal RNA
Source: RNAcentral
GAUCCUGGCUCAGGAUGAACGCUAGCUACAGGCUUAACACAUGCAAGUCGAGGGGCAGCGGGAUUGAAGCUUGCUUCAAUUGCCGGCGACCGGCGCACGGGUGAGUAACGCGUAUCCAACCUUCCGUACACUCAGGGAUAGCCUUUCGAAAGAAAGAUUAAUACCCGAUGGCAUAAUUAGACCGCAUGGUCUUAUUAUUAAAGAAUUUCGGUUAUCGAUGGGGAUGCGUUCCAUUAGGCAGUUGG